CCCUUAGAUGUUCUGGGCCACACGCGCGCUACACUGAUGCAUUCAACGAGUCUAAAACCUGGUCUGAGAGGGCUGGGUAAUCUUUUGAAAGUGCAUCGUGAUUGGGAUAGAUGAUUGCAAUUCUUCAUCUUCAACGAGGAAUGCCUAGUAAACGCAAGUCAUCAGCUUGCAUUGAUUACGUCCCUGCCCUUUGUACACACCGCCCGUCGCUCCUACCGAUUGAACGAUCCGAUGAAAACUGUGGAUUGAGAGUCUGAGUGGGUUCGCCUACCUCAACUUUCGAGAAGCGGUUUAAAUCUUAUCGUUUAGAGGAAGGAGAAGUCGUAACA
Molecule: ribosomal RNA, 329 nt
Filed under: uncultured eukaryote
Lineage: Eukaryota
Description: partial 18S ribosomal RNA
Rfam family: Eukaryotic small subunit ribosomal RNA
Source: RNAcentral